RNAcentral lists this ribosomal RNA (490 nucleotides) under uncultured bacterium. RNAcentral's name for it is "partial 16S ribosomal RNA". It matches the Rfam family "Bacterial small subunit ribosomal RNA", at positions 30 to 507 of the family's 1533-position model. The record is from RNAcentral.
AUUGAACGCUGGCGGCAGGCCUAACACAUGCAAGUCGAAUGGUAACAGGAAACAGCUUGCUGUUUCGCUGACGAGUGGCGGACGGGUGAGUAAUGUCUGGGAAACUGCCUGAUGGAGGGGGAUAACUACUGGAAACGGUAGCUAAUACCGCAUAACGUCGCAAGACCAAAGAGGGGGACCUUCGGGCCUCUUGCCAUCAGAUGUGCCCAGAUGGGAUUAGCUAGUAGGUGGGGUAACGGCUCACCUCGGCGACGAUCCCUAGCUGGUCUGAGAGGAUGACCAGCCACACUGGAACUGAGACACGGUCCAGACUCCUACGGGAGGCAGCAGUGGGGAAUAUUGCACAAUGGGCGCAAGCCUGAUGCAGCCAUGCCGCGUGUAUGAAGAAGGCCUUCGGGUUGUAAAGUACUUUCAGCGGGGAGGAAGGGAGUAAAGUUAAUACCUUUGCUCAUUGACGUUACCCGCAGAAGAAGCACCGGCUAACUCCGUG